GGGAUUGGAAGCUGAUGUUGGCUCGGCGUUAGCUGUAGAGCUAUCUGAAAUCCCACAGCUUUGGAAAGGGAAUGCAUCAUCUAGGACGGAUGGCUAUGACUAAAUCAAAACUGACUAAUGAAAUGAAGGAGAAAUCUGCCAGGUCACGAUCCUGCACUUGUGAAGUUGAACACUGAUUUUAGCUGGCCAUGGGUCUGGCCUCCAGGAAAGAAGCUCAUUGUGAAGACUUCAUCUCCUUAUCCAUCUCCAUGGUGUCCAAAGAAUGGAUCUAUGGGAAGAACCAUGUGCUCUUUGCCACCAGUGAAAAG
Molecule: long non-coding RNA, 308 nt
Organism: Calidris pugnax (ruff)
Lineage: Eukaryota; Metazoa; Chordata; Aves; Charadriiformes; Scolopacidae
Exons: 3
Source: RefSeq, a predicted model, not a curated record